This is a long non-coding RNA of Oryctolagus cuniculus (rabbit), 746 nucleotides long. RefSeq lists it as uncharacterized. Lineage: Eukaryota; Metazoa; Chordata; Mammalia; Lagomorpha; Leporidae. The record is from RefSeq and is a predicted model, not a curated record.
CGAUGGCCCUCCUCUUUGGUUUCCGGCGGAGGCGGUCCCGGAAGCCCCCACCUUCUAGACCCGCCCCUGCCCCGCCCCUGGCUGGACUCCUCGUUUGUGGAGGACUUGACAUUUUCUGAGUGACUCAGAAUACCUCACAGAGAAGCUAUGGAAACAAAGGGCCUCCUGCUCACUGUAGCAGAGCAUCCUGCCUUUGUCCGAUCCAGCUCAGUGCGUCAGUCUCUGCAAACAACAAAAGAUGUGGCCACCCAGCCGCCUGUCCCUGCCCCCACAGAAGCACUAAUGUAGGCAGAGGCCUCUGAUUGGAACUGAGCUAGGAGAGGAGCAGACAGGUACAGACAGCAGCCUGGGAGCAGGCUCCUAAGAGAGGUCAUGCUUAAUAAACUUGAUUAAUUUCUUUGAGCAGCAACAAUGCAAGUGGACAGGGGUGAAAUGAGGGGCAGUAAUUCAUCCUGAUUCCAAAGCGUAGAAGCCUUGCUAAAACCAACAGAGAUUUUACAGGGAUGCUGCUGGGGCCUGGAGGAGUCUGGUGGGGCUCGUUGUGGGGAUAGCUAGAAGUGAACUCAGCUGGGGAGAUACAUGCUCACGCUGAUCUGGUGAAGAGGAAGCCGAGAGCAGAGUCAGAACAAACUACCCAAGCCAUGCAGCCAAGACACAGAUCUCACCAGUGCACCUUCCUGCUUGAAUCCCUUCCAACGGCCUCCCACCACCCGAAUAUGAAAAUAAUAAUUGUUGCAUUUACUCGA